RNAcentral lists this non-coding RNA (23 nucleotides) under Arabidopsis thaliana (thale cress). Lineage: Eukaryota; Viridiplantae; Streptophyta; Magnoliopsida; Brassicales; Brassicaceae. The record is from RNAcentral.
UCUGAACUGUUGCAAAAACUAUU